GGGUGCGUAACGCGUGGGAAUCUGCCCUUGGGUUCGGAAUAACAGUUGGAAACGACUGCUAAUACCGGAUGAUGACGAAAGUCCAAAGAUUUAUCGCCCAAGGAUGAGCCCGCGUAGGAUUAGCUAGUUGGUGGGGUAAAGGCCUACCAAGGCGACGAUCCUUAGCUGGUCUGAGAGGAUGAUCAGCCACACUGGGACUGAGACACGGCCCAGACUCCUACGGGAGGCAGCAGUAGGGAAUAUUGGACAAUGGGGGCAACCCUGAUCCAGCAAUGCCGCGUGAGUGAUGAAGGCCUUAGGGUUGUAAAGCUCUUUUACCCGGGAUGAUAAUGACAGUACCGGGAGAAUAAGCCCCGGCUAACUCCGUGCCAGCAGCCGCGGUAAUACGGAGGGGGCUAGCGUUGUUCGGAAUUACUGGGCGUAAAGCGCACGUAGGCGGCGAUUUAAGUCAGAGGUGAAAGCCCGGGGCUCAACCCCGGAACUGCCUUUGAGACUGGAUUGCUUGAAUCCGGGAGAGGUGAGUGGAAUUCCGAGUGUAUAGGUGAAAUUCGUA
This 553-nucleotide ribosomal RNA is filed under the name Sphingomonas sp. CUD18. RNAcentral's name for it is "bacterial SSU rRNA". It matches the Rfam family "Bacterial small subunit ribosomal RNA", at positions 104 to 692 of the family's 1533-position model. Lineage: Bacteria; Pseudomonadati; Pseudomonadota; Alphaproteobacteria; Sphingomonadales; Sphingomonadaceae. The record is from RNAcentral.